CCUACGGGUGGCAGCAGUGGGGAAUAUUGGACAAUGGGCGAAAGCCUGAUCCAGCCAUGCCGCGUGUGUGAAGAAGGCCUUCGGGUUGUAAAGCACUUUCAGUGGGGAAGAAAGCCUUGGGGCUAAUACCCUCGAGGAAGGACAUCACCCACAGAAGAAGCACCGGCUAACUCCGUGCCAGCAGCCGCGGUAAUACGGAGGGUGCGAGCGUUAAUCGGAAUUACUGGGCGUAAAGCGCGCGUAGGCGGUCUGAUAAGCCGGUUGGGAAAGCCCCGGGCUCAACCUGGGAACGGCAUCCGGAACUGUCAGGCUAGAGUGCAGGAGAGGAAGGUAGAAUUCCCGGUGUAGCGGUGAAAUGCGUAGAGAUCGGGAGGAAUACCAGUGGCGAAGGCGGCCUUCUGGACUGACACUGACGCUGAGGUGCGAAAGCGUGGGUAGCAAACAGGAUUAGAUACCCGGGUAGUC
Molecule: ribosomal RNA, 465 nt
Filed under: Vreelandella stevensii
Lineage: Bacteria; Pseudomonadati; Pseudomonadota; Gammaproteobacteria; Oceanospirillales; Halomonadaceae
Description: partial 16S ribosomal RNA
Rfam family: Bacterial small subunit ribosomal RNA
Source: RNAcentral